Molecule: ribosomal RNA, 430 nt
Filed under: uncultured bacterium
Lineage: Bacteria
Description: bacterial SSU rRNA
Rfam family: Bacterial small subunit ribosomal RNA
Source: RNAcentral
CGGUAGAGUAGACGGAGAGGAUAGCGGCGGACGGGUGAGUAACGCGUAGGUAAGCUGCCCUAUGCACAGGGAUAGCCUAGGGAAACCUGGAUUAAUACCUGAUGACGCUGCGAGGUCACAUGGCCAUGCAGCCAAAGUUUUUUCGGCAUAGGAUGCACCUGCGUCUGAUUAGCUGGUUGGUGAGGUAACGGCCCACCAAGGCGACGAUCAGUAGCCGACCUGAGAGGGUGAUCGGCCACAUUGGAACUGAGACACGGUCCAAACUCCUACGGGAGGCAGCAGUGAGGAAUAUUGCACAAUGGGGGGAACCCUGGAAUGCAGCAACGCCGCGUGAGCGAAGAAGGUCUUCGGAUCGUAAAGCUCUGUCCUAAGGGACGAUAAUGACGGUACCUUAGGAGGAAGCCCCGGCUAACUACGUGCCAGCAGCAGC